This 24-nucleotide microRNA is filed under the name Marchantia polymorpha subsp. ruderalis. The record is from RNAcentral. Lineage: Eukaryota; Viridiplantae; Streptophyta; Marchantiopsida; Marchantiales; Marchantiaceae.
UACUCUGAUACUGUGAAGAAUACU